This 497-nucleotide ribosomal RNA is filed under the name uncultured bacterium. RNAcentral's name for it is "partial 16S ribosomal RNA". It matches the Rfam family "Bacterial small subunit ribosomal RNA", at positions 28 to 507 of the family's 1533-position model. The record is from RNAcentral.
GAUGAACGCUGGCGGCGUGCCUAAUACACGCAAGUCGAGCGAACGGACGAGAAGCUUGCUUCUCUGAUGUUAGCGGCGGACGGGUGAGUAGCACGUGGAUAACCUACCUAUAAGACUGGGAUAACUUCGGGAAACCGGAGCUAAUACCGGAUGAUAUUUUGAACCGCAUGGUUCAAAAGUGAAAGACGGUCUUGCUGUCACUUAUAGAUGGAUCCGCGCUGCAUUAGCUAGUUGGUAAGGUAACGGCUUACCAAGGCAACGAUGCAUAGCCGACCUGAGAGGGUGAUCGGCCACACUGGAACUGAGACACGGUCCAGACUCCUACGGGAGGCAGCAGUAGGGAAUCUUCCGCAAUGGGCGAAAGCCUGACGGAGCAACGCCGCGUGAGUGAUGAAGGUCUUCGGAUCGUAAAACUCUGUUAUUAGGGAAGAACAUAUGUGUAAGUAACUGUGCACAUCUUGACGGUACCUAAUCAGAAAGCCACGGCUAACUACGUG